AUCAGAACAAGUCAUCCAUUGCUGUUUACCAGUCACGUGGUAUCGAGAUGGUACAAUUGACCUGGUCUACUUGUGUUGUGGUGUUUAAUAUCAAUUUUCGGGAUGGCGGACAGCAUCCAAGAUAUGCAAUAUAUACAUGUAGAUGUCAUGCAUGCAAAGGUUUUUGUUCGUGAACUUCGUGGCCAAGCAGUCUACUCCUUUUCUGGUUGCGGAUUGUUCCACCAGACUCUACACGGAUUGUUUACAGAGAGCAAGAUCGCCUCUGUAGUUAUAUCUAUAUGCAUGUACCUCAAUCUAAAUCUUUGAUA
Ostrea edulis (European flat oyster) is the source of this 308-nucleotide long non-coding RNA. RefSeq lists it as uncharacterized. Lineage: Eukaryota; Metazoa; Mollusca; Bivalvia; Ostreida; Ostreidae. The record is from RefSeq and is a predicted model, not a curated record. The transcript has 3 exons.